This 721-nucleotide long non-coding RNA is filed under the name Manihot esculenta (cassava). RNAcentral's name for it is "long non-coding RNA (MESC_LNC005880)". Lineage: Eukaryota; Viridiplantae; Streptophyta; Magnoliopsida; Malpighiales; Euphorbiaceae. The record is from RNAcentral.
ACUUUCCCAUGCUAGAGCCCUCAUCAAAUGCUCUAGCUGGGUCAACAUUACAUACAACAAGCCUGGUUCUCAACUCAACAUAAAAACAUUACAUAACCAUGCAUCAACAGGGAUUAACCAGUCUAUAGGGCCAAGCACACUCUAAUCCAUAAACAUAAACUCUACUAUCAGUUACAUACAUUAUCUCAAAUUACAUUACAUCAACUUAUAUUACAUGUCCACUUCUAGAACUACUAGACUGCAACAUAAACUAUUACAUAUACAUACGACUUGACUUUACCCUGCUGCCUCUGAACUCUGACUUAAACCUGCAAACACUGGGGUUAGGGGAGAGGGGUGAGCUAAAAAGCCCAGUGAGUAGAAACAUAGAAAACAGUUCAUUAAUUACAUGCUUUCAUGAAAUGCGUCAUAUCACAGAGAAAUCACAUAACUGGGUCCGUCUCGGGGUUCAUGCAAAUAAAUAUUCCCCACGGACUGUUUUUGAGAGUUUCUUCCUUUGCUAGCAUCCUUUACUCUCAAGGAUCAGACAUGACCUCAAAAAUCCCUCUGUCGGUGCCCGGCUCCCCCAAAGGAGCUCACACAGGACUUUCACAUACAUGACAGGGUGCCUAGUCCACAGAGAGCUCACAAGGACUUUCCUAUAUGUACUUGUCCGGCUCUCAAAAGACUCACCCAAGACUCAAUGACAGAUAUGGGCUAUUGAAGUCGCCUUGGUCCGAAC